AUGGAAGUAUCAACAAGGUUUCUUCAGAAUUACUUGGAUGCUCUAAUUGGCAUCAAACUGAACUCACGCUUUGAUCCAGCAAAGGGGAAGUGCAGCAUAUCCUAUGAUCUAAAGUCUAGGUCCGUUGUUGAGCACCCCAUGAAUGGCGAUACACCUUGGAGGCCGCCCCAGCUUGGCUGGGUGAAGCUUAACACGGAUGGGUCUUACUCGUUCGCUGGUGGUGCGGGUGCUGGAAUGAUCUUGCGAGAUAACUCAGGAGCCAUAAUAUUCUCAUCAUGCAGGGCCUUGUUCUCGUGUAGAGACGCUCUGGGGGCGGAGUUAUGUGCAUGUAUGGAAGGCUUAUCUUUCGCAAUUCAACGCUCCAAUCUUCCAAUUGCCAUUGAGAUGGACUCGACUACAACCAUGGCUAUUAUUUCAUGCGGCGAGGUGGAUCGCUCAGUUUAUGCUUCUUUGGAGUAUUUACUUUCCUACAAAGAACGUAGGAAUAUUUACUUGUACGUGUCCUUUUCGUUUUUCAAGCCAACAUGCACGUCCUUUCUUUUGCUGGGAACUGAGAUGUGA
Molecule: ribosomal RNA, 561 nt
Filed under: Triticum aestivum (bread wheat)
Lineage: Eukaryota; Viridiplantae; Streptophyta; Magnoliopsida; Poales; Poaceae
Description: partial small subunit ribosomal RNA
Source: RNAcentral